AGCGAACGCUGGCGGCAGGCUUAACACAUGCAAGUCGAGCGGGCACUCCCGGGUGUCAGCGGCGGACGGGUGAGUAACGCGUGGGAACGUGCCCUCUUGUUCGGAAUAACUCAGGGAAACAUGUGCUAAUACCGGAUACGCCCUUCUGGGGGAAGGCGCGCCGGCGGGGGAUCGGCUCGCGUCUGAUUAGCUAGUUGGUGGGGUACCGGGACACCCAGGCGACGAUCAGUAGCUGGGCUGAGCGGCUGAUCAGCCACACUGGGGCUGGGACACGGCCCAGACUGCUACGGGAGGCAGGAGUGGAGAAUAUUGGAGGCGGGGCGCAGGCCUGAUCCAGCCAUGCCGCGUGAGUGAUGAAGGGGUUAGGGUUGUAAAGCUGUUUUAUCCGAGACGAUAAUGACGGUACCGGAGGAAUAAGCCCCGGCUAACUUCGUG
RNAcentral lists this ribosomal RNA (435 nucleotides) under uncultured bacterium. RNAcentral describes it as "partial 16S ribosomal RNA". It matches the Rfam family "Bacterial small subunit ribosomal RNA", at positions 28 to 507 of the family's 1533-position model. The record is from RNAcentral.